CCUACGGGUGGCAGCAGUGGGGAAUAUUGCACAAUGGGGGGAACCCUGAUGCAGCGACGCCGCGUGAGUGAAGGAGUAUUUCGGUAUGUAAAGCUCUAUCAGCAGGGAAGAAAAUGACGGUACCUGACUAAGAAGCCCCGGCUAACUACGUGCCAGCAGCCGCGGUAAUACGUAGGGGGCAAGCGUUAUCCGGAUUUACUGGGUGUAAAGGGAGCGCAGACGGCAGUGCAAGUCUGGAGUGAAAGGCGGGGGCCCAACCCUCGGACUGCUCUGGAAACUGUAAAGCUGGAGUGCGGGAGGGGUAAGCGGAAUUCCUGGUGUAGCGGUGAAAUGCGUAGAUAUUAGGAGGAACACCAGCGGCGAAGGCGGCCUACUGGACCGUAACUGACGUUGAGGCUCGAAAGCGUGGGGAGCAAACAGGAUUAGAUACCCUUGUAGUC
This 440-nucleotide ribosomal RNA is filed under the name uncultured bacterium. RNAcentral describes it as "partial 16S ribosomal RNA". It matches the Rfam family "Bacterial small subunit ribosomal RNA", at positions 338 to 795 of the family's 1533-position model. The record is from RNAcentral.